CCCUUAGAUGUUCUGGGCUGCACACGUGCUACACUGGCAGGUUCAGCGAGCUUCAUGCCCUGAUCUGAAAGGAAUGGGAAAUCUUUUCAAAACCUGCCGUGCUUGGGAUAGAUGUUUGCAAUUAUUCAUCUUCAACGAGGAUUGCCUUGUAAGCGCACGUCAUCAGCGUGCAUUGAAUACGACCCUGUAUUCUGUACACACCGCCCGUCGCUCCUACCGAUUGAAGUUUUCGGUGAGUUGACAGGAGGAUUUUUUUGAAACUGGUUCGCCAGUGGAUUUUAGAUCUAAAUGCCAACGAAUCGAUGGCUUUAGAGGAAGGAGAAGUCGUAACA
RNAcentral lists this ribosomal RNA (332 nucleotides) under uncultured eukaryote. Its description in RNAcentral is "partial 18S ribosomal RNA". It matches the Rfam family "Eukaryotic small subunit ribosomal RNA", at positions 1470 to 1796 of the family's 1831-position model. The record is from RNAcentral.